This is a non-coding RNA of Gossypium hirsutum (cotton), 107 nucleotides long. The record is from Rfam. NCBI's taxonomy places the organism in Eukaryota, Viridiplantae, Streptophyta, Magnoliopsida, Malvales, Malvaceae.
AAUCCAUGCAUCAGACAUUUUCUGAUUAACUCCUUAAAUCGUUCCUAAGCUUCAUAUAGCAUCUCAUCUUCAAAUUGCCAGAAAGAUGUAAUAUCAUUUCUCAACUU